GCCUACCACAGGGUGCUGCAAUGCCACCACCUUAUAGACCUGGCCAAAUGCAAUAGUCUGUAGUCUAUUAGUAGUUUUAUUUAUCAGUUUCAUGUUCAACAAUCUGCAAAAUGGACUUGUGUGGAUAUGCCUUUUGAAGGAGUGCCCUUCUACAACCCAAUCUAUCUGUGAAGUUCGAAGUGGUUUAAAUGUUUCUCUUUUUCAGCAAUUUUGGAGUUGAGAUUCUGUUAGCAGAAGUUUGAGAGCCUUUUGCUGGCCCAGCUCUAUUCUGAACCUUGUCUGUGUUUGAUUGGUAUU
This 297-nucleotide unclassified non-coding RNA is filed under the name Hevea brasiliensis (rubber tree). Lineage: Eukaryota; Viridiplantae; Streptophyta; Magnoliopsida; Malpighiales; Euphorbiaceae. The record is from RNAcentral.